Molecule: ribosomal RNA, 429 nt
Filed under: Chloroflexota bacterium
Lineage: Bacteria; Bacillati; Chloroflexota
Description: Chloroflexi bacterium partial 16S ribosomal RNA
Rfam family: Bacterial small subunit ribosomal RNA
Source: RNAcentral
UGGGGAAUAUUGCACAAUGGGCGCAAGCCUGAUGCAGCCAUGCCGCGUGUGUGAAGAAGGCCUUCGGGUUGUAAAGCACUUUCAGCGGGGAGGAAGGCGAUAAGGUUAAUAACCUUUUCGAUUGACGUUACCCGCAGAAGAAGCACCGGCUAACUCCGUGCCAGCAGCCGCGGUAAUACGGAGGGUGCAAGCGUUAAUCGGAAUUACUGGGCGUAAAGCGCACGCAGGCGGUCUGUCAAGUCGGAUGUGAAAUCCCCGGGCUUAACCUGGGAACUGCAUUCGAAACUGGCAGGCUAGAGUGUAGUAGAGGGGGGUAGAAUUCCAGGUGUAGCGGUGAAAUGCGUAGAGAUCUGGAGGAAUACCGGUGGCGAAGGCGGCCCCCUGGACAAAGACUGACGCUCAGGUGCGAAAGCGUGGGGAGCAAACAGG